RNAcentral lists this ribosomal RNA (251 nucleotides) under uncultured prokaryote. Its description in RNAcentral is "partial 16S rRNA". It matches the Rfam family "Bacterial small subunit ribosomal RNA", at positions 525 to 775 of the family's 1533-position model. The record is from RNAcentral.
ACGUAGGCUACAAGCGUUACUCGGAUUUAUUGGGCGUAAAGGGUCUGUAGACGGUUUUCCAAGUCUUAUUUCAAAGACCCCGACUUAAUCGGGGAAAGGGGUGAGAUACUGGAAGGCUAGAGUGGUAUCGGGGUUACUGGAAUUUUUAGUGUAGGGGUUAAAUCCGUGGAUACUAAAAAGAACACCAAGCGCGAAGGCGGGUAACUAGGUACAUACUGACGUUCAGAGACGAAAGCUAGGGUAGCAAAUCA